GAUAGCCAUGCAUGUCUAAGUACAAACGAAUUAACAGUGAAACCGCAAAAGGCUCAUUAUAUCAGUUAUGGUUCAUUAGAUCGUUAACAGUUACUUGGAUAACUGUGGUAAUUCUAGAGCUAAUACAUGCAAUAUAAACAUGGACCUUUUGGAACGUGUGCUUUUAUUAGGCUAAAACCAAGCGAUAUCUCUUAUGAGGCAUCGUUACACUGGUUGAACUCUAGAUAAUUUGCAGAUCGUAUGGUCAUGUACCGACGACAGAUCUUUCAAAUGUCUGCCCUAUCAACUAUUGAUGGUAGUAUCUUGGACUACCAUGGUUGCAACGGGUAACGGGGAAUCAGGGUUCGAUUCCGGAGAGGGAGCCUGAGAAACGGCUACCACAUCUAAGGAAGGCAGCAGGCGCGUAAAUUACCCACUCCCAGCACGGGGAGGUAGUGACGAAAAAUAACAAUACAGGACUCAUAUCCGAGGCCCUGUAAUUGGAAUGAGUACACUUUAAAUCCUUUAACAAGGACCUAUUGGAGGGCAAGUCUGGUGCCAGCAGCCGCGGUAAUUCCAGCUCCAAUAGCGUAUAUUAAAGUUGUUGCGGUUAAAACGUUCGUAGUUGAACCUGUGCUCCAAACGGGUAGCACAACUAUAAUAUUGGUUCGUGCGUUACCUUAUGUUUUGCGAGCGUAUUACCGGUGGAGUUCUAAUAUAUAUUUAAUCAAUUUAUUGAUUCAAAUAUAUAUAACUCCUAUUUAAACCUGCUUCAAUGCUCUUUACCGAGUGUUGUUGUGGGCCGGUACAAUUACUUUGAACAAAUUAGAGUGCUUAAAGCAGGCUUCUAAUGCCUGAAUAUUUUGUGCAUGGAAUAAUGGAAUAAGACCUCUGUUCUACUUUCAUUGGUUUUUAGAUCAAGAGGUAAUGAUUAAUAGAAGCAGUUGGGGGCAUUAGUAUUACGACGCGAGAGGUGAAAUUCUUGGACCGUCGUAAGACUAACUUAAGCGAAAGCAUUUGCCAAAGAUGUUUUCAUUUAUCAGACGAAAGUUAGAGGUU
Molecule: ribosomal RNA, 1038 nt
Filed under: Systropodinae sp. 01 JHY-2013
Lineage: Eukaryota; Metazoa; Arthropoda; Insecta; Diptera; Bombyliidae
Description: SSU rRNA
Rfam family: Eukaryotic small subunit ribosomal RNA
Source: RNAcentral